RNAcentral lists this ribosomal RNA (253 nucleotides) under uncultured bacterium. RNAcentral's name for it is "partial 16S ribosomal RNA". It matches the Rfam family "Bacterial small subunit ribosomal RNA", at positions 524 to 776 of the family's 1533-position model. The record is from RNAcentral.
UACGUACGAGGCGAGCGUUAUCCGGAAUUACUGGGCGUAAAGCGCGCGCAGGUGGCUCGUUAAGUCGGGCGUGAAAUCUCCCGGCCUAACUGGGAAGGGUCGCCCUAGACUGGCGGACUUGAGGACUGCAGAGGUGGGUGGAAUUCCUGGUGUAGUGGUGAAAUGCGUAGAGAUCGGGAGGAACACCAGAGGCGAAGGCGGCGACCUGGAGAGUGACUGACACUCAACUGCGAAAGCGUGGGGAGCAAACAGG